CUAUACAGUGCAUUCUAUAUGAUCAAAGCAGAAAUGCAGCGGCUUCUGACGAAGAGUUAUCGUGGCUGAGGGGAACAAAAUAUCAAGGAAGGAGAAAAAAAGAUACAGAGCUACAAAAUACCAGGUCAUGCCACCAAAGUAAACACCCACAGGGUUUCUGGUGGAACUAGAGAGCUUGUCUAGCCAGCUGGGGAUUCACAGGGAUUUUAUGGACUUCCUGUGUGAGCUGGAGCCUGCCUGUUGGAUAUGCAUCACUCUCUAUCACAGCUGGUGUUUUCAACCAAAAGUGUGGAGUAGAAAUUUCAUCCCUGAUUUUUUUUGGCUGGAUUGAUUGUUUAGUCUAGGAACUCUCAAGGAGACUUUCUAGGUGCUGGAAUUCCUCUUAUUCUUCAGUCAGCAGUUGAUGCUGUGUGGUGAACAUCAGAAUCUAGAUUCACAUCUUAGUGAGCAAAGAUUUAUGUUCCUCCUAACGCUCCCUGACGUUAAUGAGUAUUACAGACAUGCAUCCCCAUGGAUUAAGCUGAGAACAUACCCCAGAGUGUGUGUGGAGUUUGUCAUUAGGCUAUCAGACUAUUAAAACCAACAGAGACAUUCCAAGGGUAAGAAAGCAAUUGGAUCCCUUCCCUCCUCUCUGCUGGAGCACAUUUGAGAGAUACACUUUAAAUCUUCUCGUAUUUCCAGCCCUCUCACAAGUCCUGCACUCAUUUUUGGUUGUUAAUGACUUCAAAGAAGAAUUGAUUGCCACUUUUAAGGCACUUCUCAUAACAACAUUAUGGGGAGUUUGUUGCUGGAAAGGAAUAUUUCUGUAGCAUUACAGUGGUCUCUAAUGAAGGAAUUUCCUUGUGGCUGGGGGAGACAAGGGAGGAUUUUUCCUCAGCUGGCUGUUUCAGGGAUGGCAUCAAUACAAUGGGAUGAUCUGUACACUCCUUAGCUGGGGAAUGUGACUCCUUAAAGAAGGACUGUGGAUCCUGGGAUGUGCUCCCUGAGAGCAGAGCAGCAGCCACCAAAGGGACCAAAGGCUCUGCUGCAGCACAGAGAUCCAUGUGCAGGUCCUUGCUCUCCCCUGCCCAGGGCUCCAGGUUUUAAAGAUAUUUUGGGUGCCACACAGCUAGCUCUAUUAUCUGGACAGCCUGGGGACAAUUAAAUAAACAAAUAAACCAGACACAAAACAUAGACUCCAGGAUGUAAAUUCAGUCUCCCCCAAAGCCACGUGUAAAACUGACCUGUGGGAAAGAGUCAGUGCAGAAUCACCACAUCCCUCAACCCCAUGAUCUACCUGCAACAAACAACUUUGGAGCCAGGAUUCUUGGAUUUUCUUCCCAAUAUCCCAACCAUAGGGCAGACACAAUUACUGUGUGUCUGGUUGACUGGAAUUUUCUGGGUUGACUCUUGGCACACAUGAGGUUUAUUAGCCCUGUGUAAUCCUGCCUAUACCAGCACACUGAAAGAUGGAAAUAAAAACUUCAUGUUUUCCCUCAGAGCCACUUGAGACCUUUUGGAGAAAAUUUUCAUAGGAGAAUUCUAAUUUAGCUAAUUUGAAAGCACUGGCUCCUGGAUCAGUUGCUCCCCUGGAAACAAACCCAUUGCUCCCUCAGUAAAAGGAAUAAAACAAUACUAACAGAGAUUUCUAAAAUACUUUGAGAUCUGUGAAUAUAAAGGGCUGUCUGUAAAGUGUUUAGAAAACUUCAAAAAAAAAAGGUGCUACAUAAAUGCAUAUUUAUUGCAGUGCUGACAUUCUUGUGGCAGCUCUGAAUGCAGAAUCAAAAGCAGAGGGGGCAGAAUGUAAGUCAGAAUAAGAAACUGUCAGCCUUUAGCCUCUAUCUUAAACUACUUUGAAAUGUUGCAGACAUUCAGAGAAUCUAGUUUGCCACUAUUGUGUGUCCUACAGUAAUUACACCAAUCUGGAAUAUAAAUUUUCCUUCCCCCUUCUGAGAGAAGGCAAAGCUCUUUGAGAUACACACAAAUGGGGCUCUAAUCCCACAAACUUUAAUGCCUGUACCUAAUGUCAGGCAGCAGAGCUGUCCCACUGAUUUCAGUGGCUGUGCUCAGAUGCAUGUGUGGAAACGUUUGUGUGAUUAGAAGUUAAUCAUAAUAAAUGCCAGUUCAUAAGAGA
Passer montanus (Eurasian tree sparrow) is the source of this 2113-nucleotide long non-coding RNA. RefSeq lists it as uncharacterized. NCBI's taxonomy places the organism in Eukaryota, Metazoa, Chordata, Aves, Passeriformes, Passeridae. The record is from RefSeq and is a predicted model, not a curated record. The transcript has 2 exons.